CGGAGGGUGCAAGCGUUAUCCGGAUUCACUGGGUUUAAAGGGUGCGUAGGUGGGUUGGUAAGUCAGUGGUGAAAUCUCCGAGCUUAACUUGGAAACUGCCAUUGAUACUAUCAAUCUUGAAUAUUGUGGAGGUCAGCGGAAUAUGUCAUGUAGCGGUGAAAUGCUUAGAGAUGACAUAGAACACCAAUUGCGAAGGCAGCUGGCUACACAUAUAUUGACACUGAGGCACGAAAGCGUGGGGAUCAAACAGGAUUAGAUACCCUGGUAGUCCACGCCCUAAACUAUGGAUACUCGACAUACGCGAUACACUGUGUGUGUCUGAGCGAAAGCAUUAAGUAUCCCACCUGGGAAGUACGAUCGCAAGAUUG
Molecule: ribosomal RNA, 368 nt
Filed under: uncultured organism
Description: bacterial SSU rRNA
Rfam family: Bacterial small subunit ribosomal RNA
Source: RNAcentral